This 77-nucleotide transfer RNA is filed under the name Moraxellaceae bacterium. RNAcentral's name for it is "tRNA-Arg". It matches the Rfam family "tRNA". From Rfam's summary of the family: Transfer RNA (tRNA) molecules are approximately 80 nucleotides in length. Their secondary structure includes four short double-helical elements and three loops (D, anti-codon, and T loops). RNAcentral also lists the same sequence under 1 other name. Lineage: Bacteria; Pseudomonadati; Pseudomonadota; Gammaproteobacteria; Moraxellales; Moraxellaceae. The record is from RNAcentral.
GCGCCAGUAGCUCAGCUGGAUAGAGUACUGCCCUCCGAAGGCAGGGGUCGUGGGUUCGAAUCCCGCCUGGCGCGCCA